RNAcentral lists this ribosomal RNA (359 nucleotides) under uncultured Rhizophagus. RNAcentral describes it as "SSU rRNA". It matches the Rfam family "Eukaryotic small subunit ribosomal RNA", at positions 720 to 1092 of the family's 1831-position model. Lineage: Eukaryota; Fungi; Glomeromycota; Glomeromycetes; Glomerales; Glomeraceae. The record is from RNAcentral.
CAUUAAUUUGGUGUUGCAGGGAAUCUGGACUGUUACUUUGAAAAAAUUAGUGUGUUUAAAGCAGGCUAACGCUUGAAUACAUUAUGAAAUAGGACGUUCGAUCCUAUUGUUGGUUUCUAGGAUUGACGUAAUGAUUAAUAGGGAUAGUUGGGGCAUUAGUAUUCAAUUGUCAGAGGUGAAAUUCUUGGAUUUAUUGAAGACUAACUACUGCGAAAGCAUUUGCCAAGGAUGUUUUCAUUAAUCAAGAACGAAAGUUACGGGAUCAAAGACGAUCAGAUACCGUCAUAGUCUUAACCAUAAACUAUGCCGACUAGGGAUCGGAUGAUGUUAAUUUUUAAUGACUCAUUCGGCGCCUUACA